RNAcentral lists this ribosomal RNA (481 nucleotides) under uncultured bacterium. RNAcentral's name for it is "bacterial SSU rRNA". It matches the Rfam family "Bacterial small subunit ribosomal RNA", at positions 28 to 527 of the family's 1533-position model. The record is from RNAcentral.
GAUGAACGCUAGCGGCAGGCUUAACACAUGCAAGUCGAGGGGUAUGCCGAUUUAUCGGCAGAGACCGGCGCACGGGUGCGUAACGCGUAUGCAAUCUACCUUUCACAGAGGGAUAGCCCAGAGAAAUUUGGAUUAAUACCUCAUAGUAUAGCAGUUUCGCAUGAAACCACUAUUAAAGUUCCAACGGUGAAAGAUGAGCAUGCGUCCCAUUAGUUAGUUGGUAAGGUAACGGCUUACCAAGACAAUGAUGGGUAGGGGUCCUGAGAGGGAGAUCCCCCACACUGGUACUGAGACACGGACCAGACUCCUACGGGAGGCAGCAGUGGGGAAUAUUGGACAAUGGGCGCAAGCCUGAUCCAGCAAUGCCGCGUGAGUGAUGAAGGCCUUAGGGUUGUAAAGCUCUUUUUACCCGAGAUGAUAAUGACAGUAUCGGGAGAAUAAGCUCCGGCUAAACUCCCGUGCCAGCAGCCGCGGUUAAAGU